This 465-nucleotide ribosomal RNA is filed under the name uncultured bacterium. Its description in RNAcentral is "partial 16S ribosomal RNA". It matches the Rfam family "Bacterial small subunit ribosomal RNA", at positions 338 to 795 of the family's 1533-position model. The record is from RNAcentral.
CCUACGGGAGGCAGCAGUAGGGAAUCUUCCACAAUGGGCGAAAGCCUGAUGGAGCAACGCCGCGUGGGUGAAGAAGGUCUUCGGAUCGUAAAACCCUGUUGUUCGAGAAGAAAGUGCGUGAGAGUAACUGUUCACGUUUCGACGGUAUCUAACCAGAAAGCCACGGCUAACUACGUGCAAGCAGCCGCGGUAAUACGGAGGGGGCAAGCGUUAUCCGGAUUUAUUGUGCGUAAAGGGAACGCAGGCGGUCUUUUAAGUCUGAUGUGAAAGCCUUCGGCUUAACCGGAGUAGUGCAUUGGAAACCGGGGGACAUGAGUGCAGAAGAGGAGAGUGGAACUCCAGGUGUAGCGGUGAAAUGCGUAGAGAUGAGGCGGAACACCAGUGGCGAAAGCGGCUCUCUGGUCUGUAACUGACGCUGAGGUUCGAAAGCGUGGGUAGCAAACAGGAUUAGAUACCAUUGUAGUC